RNAcentral lists this ribosomal RNA (253 nucleotides) under uncultured bacterium. Its description in RNAcentral is "partial 16S ribosomal RNA". It matches the Rfam family "Bacterial small subunit ribosomal RNA", at positions 524 to 776 of the family's 1533-position model. The record is from RNAcentral.
UACGUAGGGGGCAAGCGUUGUCCGGAUUUAUUGGGCGUAAAGAGCGUGUAGGCGGCCAGAAAGGUCAGCUGUGAAAACUCGAGGCUCAACCUCGAGACGUCGGUUGAAACCGUCUGGCUAGAGUCCGGAAGAGGAGAGUGGAAUUCCCGGUGUAGCGGUGAAAUGCGCAGAUAUCGGGAAGAACACCCGUGGCGAAGGCGGCUCUCUGGGACGGUACUGACGCUGAGACGCGAAAGCGUGGGGAGCGAACAGG